This 341-nucleotide ribosomal RNA is filed under the name uncultured Acidobacteriota bacterium. RNAcentral's name for it is "bacterial SSU rRNA". It matches the Rfam family "Bacterial small subunit ribosomal RNA", at positions 15 to 349 of the family's 1533-position model. The record is from RNAcentral. Lineage: Bacteria; Pseudomonadati; Acidobacteriota.
GAUCCUGGCUCAGAAUCAACGCUGGCGGCGUGCCUAACACAUGCAAGUCGAACGAGAAAGCAGGGGCAACUCUGUGAGUAAAGUGGCGACCGGGUGAGUAACACGUAGCUAACCUACCCUCAAGCGGGGGAUAACCUGGGGAAACCUGGGCUAAUACCGCAUGACAUCCCGACAGCGAUGCUGUUGGGAGCAAAGGUCCGCAAGGGCCACUGGAGGAGGGGGCUGCGGCCGAUUAGCUAGUUGGUGAGGUAAUGGCCCACCAAGGCAAUGAUCGGUAGCCGGCCUGAGAGGGCGCACGGCCACACUGGCACUGACGCACGGGCCAGACUCCUACGGGAGGC